AAACUCAGUUCAUACCAGCCAUUCUAGGGGUGGUGUGAGUUGUCAUCCUUAGGAAACCAUGUUGUUGUAGAAUCAACCACAUCCUUCAAAAGGACUAUGCCUGUUUAUAAGCCCAGCUGUUUCUGCCCUGUGAAACAUGCAAGGAUAUUAAUACAAAAGAGAAUAGAGCUUUAUGAUAAAAGAUGCCCAAUGAAAGACGAAUUAGGGAUAUACUGAGAAUGGGGAAGGAAAUUGUCUACUCAGAAGUUAGCAGGCAUUAAGCAAAAGAGGAGAAAUCAAUAUAGCAACAGUUUGGAUCAGACUGUCCUUUUUUUUUUUUUUUUUUUUUUUUUUUUUUUUUUUUUUUUUUUUUUUUCUGAGACAGAAUCUCACUCUGUCACCCAGGCUGGAGUGCAAUGUGUGAUCUCAGCUCACUGCAACCUCCGCCUCCCAGGUUCAAGCGAUUCUCCUUCUUCAGCCUCCCGAGUAGGUGGGAUUAUAGGUGCCUGCCACCACGCCCGGCUAUUUUUUUGUGUUUUUAGUAGAGAUGGGGUUUCACUGUAUUAGCCAGGAUGGUCUCGAUCUCCUGACCUUGUGAUUCACCCACCCUGGCCUCCCAAAGUGCUGGGAUUACAGGCGUGAGCCACUGCACUCGGCCCAGACUGUACUUUUAUAGCCAUCUGAAAUAUGUUUCCUAGCUAUAGAUAGAUUGUGUAAGGGUACAGUUGUGAGGAUAACAGAAACAUGGCAGAUUAUUUAAAAUCAUCCUGAAAGUGAUGCUUUAUCUGAUGAAAGUGAUUGUAAUCCAUAGGGAAUCGUUUCUAAGCGCGCGAGAGUUGCAGCGGCAGGCAGAGAACUACAGACGCAAAGUAAGGACCUUCCUCCCCACGGUUGCAGGAUUGUUCGGUGCUGAUGCAGAUGAUGCCAUGGCCCUUAGAUUCUCUCAACAUUCAAUUUCUCAUGUGUUGGCUUUUUCAGAUCACCCCUUCUGCAAUAAAGGCUCUUGACAACCAGCUCUUUGCUCUAACCUUGCAGUGGGAGAUGGCCGAGAGGAAGGCUUACAAGCAGCACGGGUGUGAAAUGAGGGAAAAGCGGAGAAUGCCAGAGACACACAUGAGUGAGGAGUCAGUCCAGGAACGACCGGGCCUAAAGAACCCUUUCUGGAGAGGUAGGAGCUCACUGUGAAGGCAGCUGCUUAAUUUCUGCUACACAAUCCACACACCCUGCUUCUCCUUUUGGGGGUGAGGGCUCGGGUGGGGUAAUUGUUAUGUUUCCUGGAAACAAUUCCAAGCACUUACAAAGAGAACAGUAGGACCCUAUUUAUCUCAGGUGCCCUAGCUGAAUGGCUCUUGGCUGGUCCCCUGUGAAUGGUGCAGCUCAGGCCGCUCCACCGACUGUGGACAUUACCCCACCCUGAUGUCUUGGUUACUUUUAACUGAGGAGAUGAGCCUAGAAGGCAAAUGGGCCAGCUCCCUUUUCCACCUUGACUCAGUGUGAAGGCUUUUUCUUUCAUUUGAGAAAACAACAAUAGCACUUUAGAAUGGGAGCCACAUGUUGGGAUGAGAGCAUAGAUUUUCUGGCCACGUCUUCAUGGAUCACUACUGUAGCAUGAGCUCUGCUUUAAGAAAAGAAGCAGGCUGGGUGCGGUGGCUCAUGCCUGUAAUCCCAGCAUUUUGGGAGCCUGAGGCGGGCGGAUCACAAGGUCAGGAGAUCAAGACCAUCCUGGCUAACAUGGUGAAACCCCGUCUCUACUAAAAAUACAGAAAAAAUUAGGUGGGUGUGGUGGCGGGCGCCUGUAGUCCCAGCUACUUGGGAGGCUGAGGCAGGAGAAUGGCAUGAACCCAGGAGGCAGACUUGCAGUGAGCUGAGAUCGUACCACUGCACUCCAGCCUGGGCGACAGAGCGAGAGUCCGUCUCAAAAAAAAAAAAAAAAAAAAAAAAAAAGAAGAAGUAUUUAUUUACACUUUUUGGAACUUCCUUCAUUCUUUUUGUUUGUUUAAGUUGUUUAUUGUCAACUAUAUAACUCCAUUAGUAAGUUAAAUUUCUAUGUAAUCUUACUCCUCUAACAUUUGAAGUGGAACCCUAAAACUUUCCAGUUAAUUUCUGUAGCUCUUACCUUUUCUCAUGACUGUUCAUCUUUUUAUGUCCAUUUCUGUUCAUAAGUAUUGGUAAUACCUGGCCAGGU
This is a long non-coding RNA of Piliocolobus tephrosceles (Ugandan red Colobus), 2164 nucleotides long. The record is from Ensembl. NCBI's taxonomy places the organism in Eukaryota, Metazoa, Chordata, Mammalia, Primates, Cercopithecidae.